CCCGCCGUAGCUCAGCGGCAGAGCGCCCGGCUGUAGUGGGACGCGGGCGGCGUAACCCGGUGUCUCCCCGCAGACACCGGGUGGUCCGGGGUUCGAAUCCCCGCGGCGGGA
RNAcentral lists this transfer RNA (111 nucleotides) under Aeropyrum pernix. RNAcentral's name for it is "tRNA-Tyr". It matches the Rfam family "tRNA". From Rfam's summary of the family: Transfer RNA (tRNA) molecules are approximately 80 nucleotides in length. The record is from RNAcentral. Lineage: Archaea; Thermoproteati; Thermoproteota; Thermoprotei; Acidilobales; Acidilobaceae. RNAcentral also lists the same sequence under 1 other name.